AUGAAAGAGCCGCGCAACCUCGAGAGCUUGAGGGAGCUCAAAAUUAAGUUUGAGCAGAAUGUAAGCUGGUCAGAGUUGGAGGAAGCUUUCGUGGAGUGUCUAUCCAAGCUAAAGAAGAUCCAAAGUGUAGUUAUUCGUGGGUGUUUUCCAUCCAUAGAUCUCCUGGGAGAAGGCUGGGUUCCCCCUCCACACCUUCGCACAUUUGACUUGUUCAUGCUUGGCAAGUUCUCAAAAAUGCCAGCGUGGAUAGAAAGAGAGCCCUCCCUUCUUUGGAACCUUUCUGAGCUGAUCAUUGGUCUCAAGGAAGUCCAACCAGAGGACCUGAGGAUCCUCGGGAGCCUACCAACUCUUCGUAUCCUCGCGCUGCAUAGCGCCCAGCAGGCGCAAAGGCUGCUACCCGUUGGUGCCGACGCCGGGUUUCACUGGCUGGUAGCCUUCUCCUUGUACUGCGAGUCGCCUAGGCAGAUCAUGUUUCAGCAGGGAGCCUUGCCGAGGGCUGAAGCAGUUCUCUUCAAUUUCGGCAUGCGGAAGGCAAUUGAAGAUGGCAACGGUGGUUUUUUCUUCGGUCUGGGGAACCUUUCCUCUAUUAGGCGGCUGUAUGUUGGGAUUGAUCGUGACGGUGCCACGGUUGCGGAGGUGAAGGAAGCGGUGGCCAAGUUGCAGCACGCAGUCGGCGCCCACCCUAAUCAUCCCAGCAUUACUGCUGAUAUCAGGCCACCUAUUCAACCAGUCACCGAUGAUGAGGUACAACUACAAGCUCUUGAGUUUCGAUCACCCACCUGCAUGCUUCAAUUCCUUCCUUGUGGCGCUUCUUUCUUAUUGAAUGAAUUUUUCUUUCCGUCUUUGUCAGGUAAAAACAUUGAAUGA
This 867-nucleotide ribosomal RNA is filed under the name Triticum aestivum (bread wheat). RNAcentral's name for it is "partial small subunit ribosomal RNA". The record is from RNAcentral. Lineage: Eukaryota; Viridiplantae; Streptophyta; Magnoliopsida; Poales; Poaceae.